AUAUGGAUUAGUGUUAAA
RNAcentral lists this small nuclear RNA (18 nucleotides) under Arabidopsis thaliana (thale cress). RNAcentral's name for it is "snRNA_01554". The record is from RNAcentral. Lineage: Eukaryota; Viridiplantae; Streptophyta; Magnoliopsida; Brassicales; Brassicaceae.